RNAcentral lists this small nucleolar RNA (72 nucleotides) under Olea europaea subsp. europaea. Its description in RNAcentral is "Small nucleolar RNA snoR60". It matches the Rfam family "Small nucleolar RNA snoR60". From Rfam's summary of the family: snoR60 is a member of the C/D class of snoRNA which contain the C (UGAUGA) and D (CUGA) box motifs. Most of the members of the box C/D family function in directing site-specific 2'-O-methylation of substrate RNAs. The record is from Rfam by way of RNAcentral. Lineage: Eukaryota; Viridiplantae; Streptophyta; Magnoliopsida; Lamiales; Oleaceae.
CUGCAGAUGACGAGUUACUCGGAUUCCCCUUCAAGACAUCUUGGGUGAUGCAAAAACCGAGCUUCUGAUGCA